Molecule: ribosomal RNA, 468 nt
Filed under: uncultured bacterium
Lineage: Bacteria
Description: partial 16S ribosomal RNA
Rfam family: Bacterial small subunit ribosomal RNA
Source: RNAcentral
GCCUAACUCUUUCUUCGUGCUUAAUACAUGCAAGUCGAACGGACAGGCCCUGCCUUUGUGGGCUGCUCGAGUGGCGAACGGGUGCGUACCACGUGGGUACCCUGCCCUUGCCUUUGGGAUAACUUCGGGAAACUGUGGCUAAUACCAGAUAAUAGCUCAUGAUGCAUGGUGGUGGUUGGAAAGUUUCGGCGGUUGGGGAUGGACGCGCGGCUUAUCAGCUUGUUGGUGGGGUAGUGGCUUACUAAGGCUUUGACGGGUAGCCGGCCUGAGCGGGUGACCGGCGACAUUGGGACUGAGAGACGGCCCAGACGCCUACGGGAGGCAGCAGUGGGGAAUAUUGCACAAUGGGCGGAAGCCUGAUGCAGCAACGCCGCGUGCGGGAUGACGGCCUGCGGGUUGUAAACCGCUUUCGCCUGUGACGAAGCGUGAGUGGCGGUAAUGGGUAAAGAAGCACCGGCUAACUACGUG